RNAcentral lists this ribosomal RNA (305 nucleotides) under uncultured bacterium. RNAcentral describes it as "bacterial SSU rRNA". It matches the Rfam family "Bacterial small subunit ribosomal RNA", at positions 336 to 658 of the family's 1533-position model. The record is from RNAcentral.
UUCCUACGGGAGGCAGCAGUGAGGAAUAUUGGUCAAUGGACGCAAGCCUGAUGCAGCGACGCCGCGUGAGCGAAGAAGUAUUUCGGUAUGUAAAGCUCUAUCAGCAGGGAAGAAAAUGAUGGUACCUGACUAAGAAGCUCCGGCUAAAUACGUGCCAGCAGCCGCGGUAAUACGUAUGGAGCAAGCGUUAUCCGGAAUUACUGGGUGUAAAGGGAGCGUAGACGGAUGUGAAAGUCUGAUGUGAAAGGCGGGGGCUCAACCCCUGGACUGCAUUGGAUACUGUAAAUCUUGAGUGCCGGAGAGGU